UUAUCAUUAGAACUCGUCCAGUAUCAGUUGCAGCGAUAACCCAAAAUGUUCCAGAAAUUUUUUCUCUUUGCUUGCGUCUUGGCUGUGAUGGCCGUCGUCUGCACCAACUCGGCACCCACUGAAGAUGAACCCGCUAAUUCCGACGAGCCGGGAGACCAGUUCUUGUUCUACUGUCGCUGGUUCACUUCUUGCAGCAACAGCACCCAGUGCUCGAGCAAUGUGAUCUACAAGACCUGCAACGGUGGCCGUUGCUGUAGAGGUUAAACAU
This is a long non-coding RNA of Daphnia pulicaria, 268 nucleotides long. RefSeq lists it as uncharacterized. The record is from RefSeq and is a predicted model, not a curated record. The transcript is spliced from 3 exons. Lineage: Eukaryota; Metazoa; Arthropoda; Branchiopoda; Diplostraca; Daphniidae.